Molecule: ribosomal RNA, 494 nt
Filed under: uncultured bacterium
Lineage: Bacteria
Description: partial 16S ribosomal RNA
Rfam family: Bacterial small subunit ribosomal RNA
Source: RNAcentral
GACGAACGCUGGCGGCGUGCUUAACACAUGCCAGUCGAACGGAAAGGCCUGCUUUCCCUUGUGGAUUGCGGGUACUCGAGUGGCGAACGGGUGAGUAACACGUGAGUGAUCUGCCCCCAACUUGGGUAUAAGCCUGGGAAACUGGGUCUAAUUCCCGAUAGGACUGCAGGGUGGUGCCUGUGGUGGAAAACGAUUUUCUAGUGGUUGGGGAUGAGCUCGCGGCCUAUCAGCUUGUUGGUGGGGUAAUGGCCUACCAAGGCGGCGACGGGUAGCCGGCCUGGGAGGGGGGACGGCCACAUUGGGACUGAGAUACGGCCCAGACUCCUACGGGAGGCAGCAGUGGGGAAUAUUGCACAAUGGGCGGAAGCCUGAUGCAGCGACGCCGCGUGGGGGAUGACGGCCUUCGGGUUGUAAGCUCCUUUCGACCGCGAGGAAGCCACCUGGUUGGAAGGGUGGUGACGGUAGUGGUAGAAGAAGCACCGGCUAACUACGUG